GUUAUGAUUGAGCCUCAUGGCUCUGCUACUGGCAGACGUGGGCGUAAGACUCCUCGAGAGUCAGAUACUCUCGAGGAGCGAGAAAGAAAGAGGCUGCGAGAUAUCUUUGCAGAACCAUCUGACGAAGAGUCUUUUGAGGGGUUUACAGAGAGAAUGGAGGAAGAGCUGGUUAGCUCGGAAGAGGAUGAGAUGGAUUGGACUCGGGUAAGGGAGGAGUUGGGUGCCACUGGCAAUGAUGGGAUGGAAGAUGAUUGGGGACCUUCAGGAUUAGACCCAUGGACAAGCUGGAGGGAUGGGACGGGAUCCACAGCUGGGGAUGCUGUGGGGCGUAGUCAGAGGUGUUCCAGCUCUGAUGAGGAAAGUGAUGAGGAAACGCCCGGGUUAAGGAGGGCAGCUGAUAGUGAUGAGGACUUGUAACUGGCAUAAAAUGGGGCUUGGGAGCAAUUGCAAAUUGCGUUGGGCAAGGUAAUCUGGACGAACGCUUGGGAUCUGUGUGGGACGUUUUCCUGAAGACGGGUGUGUUUUCGUGUGCUGAUACCUUUGACCUUCCGUCGUCUUCUUGACGGACGCCAUCUGCUGCUCUGGAUUUACGGACUGAACUGACUACGGAAUCGGUAUCUCCUAUUGGACUUGGUGAACUGCAAACGUCUGAUUCUACCUAAUUGACCUUCGGAAAGAACUGGGACUACUCUACUGCUUCAAUCCUCGGCUGCUGCGUUUGUAUUGGGAAUUUGCCUUGCUGUGUGAAGGAGUGACUCUGUGUUACUCAAAACAUAGUGCUGGCAGCAGAGAGGCAUCUGCUGCCAAUUACAGUAGAGUCUCACUUAUCCAACACUCGCUUAUCCAACGUUCUGGAUUAUCCAACGCAUUUUUGUAGUCAAUGCUUUCAAUAUAUCGUGAUAUUUUGGUGCUAAAUUCAUAAAUACAGUAAUUUCUACAUAGAAUUACUGUGUAUUGAACUACUUUUUCUUCCAAAUUUGUUGUCUAACAUGAUGUUUUGGUCCUUAAUUUGUAAAAUCAUAACUUAAUUUGAUGUUUAAUAGGCUUAUCCUUAAUCCCUCCUUAUUAUCCAACAUAUUCGCUUAUCCAACAUUCUGCCGGCCCGUUUAUGUUGGAUAAGUGAGACUCUACUGUAGUUACAUUCUUUUGAACUCUUUGUUUCCCAGCUUCUGUUUUGUUUACUCCCAGGCUGAAGCAAGCUGUUUUGAUUUUACCCGGAUUAAACUCCGGUUUAAUCCGGUUUAUCUUUUGAACGUUUUUCCUUGCCCCUUUUUGCUUUUAAAGGCUAAAGUUGCCUAGCCCUUGUCUUUUACGGGCAUUUUGAGUUCUGUAAAUCCAAUAAACUCUGUUAUCUUUGA
Molecule: long non-coding RNA, 1358 nt
Organism: Anolis carolinensis (green anole)
Lineage: Eukaryota; Metazoa; Chordata; Lepidosauria; Squamata; Anolidae
Exons: 2
Source: RefSeq, a predicted model, not a curated record